CAUUGCUAUCGGGGUCCGAUUCAGCCAUGCUAGUUGUACGGGUUUAGACCCGUAGCAAAUAGCUCCGUAACACGUGGUCAAACUACCCUCUGGACCGGGAUACCCUCGGGAAACUGAGGCUAAUUCCCGAUACUGCUUUCAUGUUGGAACACAGAAAGUCGGAAACGGUCCGCCGCCGGAGGACGUGACUGCGGCCGAUUAGGUAGACGGUGGGGUAACGGCCCACCGUGCCGAUAAUCGGUACGGGUUGUGAGAGCAAGAACCCGGAGACGGUAUCUGAGACAAGAUACCGGGCCCUACGGGGCGCAGCAGGCGCGAAACCUUUACACUGCACGCCAGUGCGAUAAGGGGACCCCGAGUGCGAGGGCAUACAGUCCUCGCUUUUCGUGACCGUAAGAAGGUCUCAGAAUAAGAGCUGGGCAAGACCGGUGCCAGCCGCCGCGGUAAUACCGGCAGCUCGAGUGAUAGCCACUAUUAUUGGGCCUAAAGCGUCCGUAGCCGGCCGAACAGGUCCGUCGGGAAAUCCACCCGCUCAACGGGUGGACGUCCGGCGGAAACCAGUCGGCUUGGGGCCGGGAGACCAGAGAGGUACGUCCGGGGUAGGAGUGAAAUCCCGUAAUCCUGGACGGACCGCCGGUAGCGAAAGCGUCUCUGGAGAACGGACCCGACGGUGAGGGACGAAAGCUUGGGUCUCGAACCGGAUUAGAUACCCGGGUAGUCCAAGCUGUAAACGAUGCUCGCUAGGUGUGGCGUUGGCUACGAGCCAGCGCUGUGCCGUAGGGAAGCCGAGAAGCGAGCCGCCUGGGAAGUACGUCCGCAAGGAUGAAACUUAAAGGAAUGGGCGGGGGGAGCACUACAACCGGAGGAGCCUGCGGUU
RNAcentral lists this ribosomal RNA (877 nucleotides) under Halococcus thailandensis. Its description in RNAcentral is "bacterial SSU rRNA". It matches the Rfam family "Archaeal small subunit ribosomal RNA", at positions 25 to 902 of the family's 1478-position model. Lineage: Archaea; Methanobacteriati; Methanobacteriota; Halobacteria; Halobacteriales; Halococcaceae. The record is from RNAcentral.